RNAcentral lists this ribosomal RNA (429 nucleotides) under Chloroflexota bacterium. RNAcentral describes it as "Chloroflexi bacterium partial 16S ribosomal RNA". It matches the Rfam family "Bacterial small subunit ribosomal RNA", at positions 355 to 776 of the family's 1533-position model. Lineage: Bacteria; Bacillati; Chloroflexota. The record is from RNAcentral.
UGGGGAAUAUUGCACAAUGGGCGCAAGCCUGAUGCAGCCAUGCCGCGUGUAUGAAGAAGGCCUUCGGGUUGUAAAGUACUUUCAGCGGGGAGGAAGGGAGUAAAGUUAAUACCUUUGCUCAUUGACGUUACCCGCAGAAGAAGCACCGGCUAACUCCGUGCCAGCAGCCGCGGUAAUACGGUGGGUGCAAGCGUUAAUCGGAAUUACUGGGCGUAAAGCGCACGCAGGCGGUUUGUUAAGUCAGAUGUGAAAUCCCCGGGCUCAACCUGGGAACUGCAUCUGAUACUGGCAAGCUUGAGUCUCGUAGAGGGGGGUAGAAUUCCAGGUGUAGCGGUGAAAUGCGUAGAGAUCUGGAGGAAUACCGGUGGCGAAGGCGGCCCCCUGGACGAAGACUGACGCUCAGGUGCGAAAGCGUGGGGAGCAAACAGG